This 82-nucleotide transfer RNA is filed under the name Candidatus Omnitrophica bacterium CG1_02_41_171. Its description in RNAcentral is "tRNA-Leu". It matches the Rfam family "tRNA". From Rfam's summary of the family: Transfer RNA (tRNA) molecules are approximately 80 nucleotides in length. The record is from RNAcentral. Lineage: Bacteria; Pseudomonadati; Candidatus Omnitrophota.
GCGGAUGUGGCGGAAUGGCAGACGCGCUAGACUUAGGAUCUAGUCCUUUUUGAGGGUGGGAGUUCAAAUCUCCCCGUCCGCA